This 67-nucleotide small nucleolar RNA is filed under the name Sphenodon punctatus (tuatara). Its description in RNAcentral is "Small nucleolar RNA SNORD75 (ENSSPUG00000018550.1)". It matches the Rfam family "Small nucleolar RNA SNORD75". Rfam says of the family: U75 (SNORD75) belongs to the C/D class of snoRNAs which contain the C (UGAUGA) and D (CUGA) box motifs. Lineage: Eukaryota; Metazoa; Chordata; Lepidosauria; Sphenodontia; Sphenodontidae. The record is from Rfam by way of RNAcentral.
AGCCGAUGAUGCUUUUAAUAUAAGAGUAGUGGACAGAACAGCUUUCUGAAAACUUCAUACUGAGGCU